UGCAAGUCGAACGGAAAGGCCCUUCGGGGUACUCGAGUGGCGAACGGGUGAGUAACACGUGGGUGAUCUGCCCUGCACUUUGGGAUAAGCCUGGGAAACUGGGUCUAAUACCGAAUAUGACCGCGCACUUCCUGGUGUGUGGUGGAAAGCUUUUGCGGUGUGGGAUGGGCCCGCGGCCUAUCAGCUUGUUGGUGGGGUAAUGGCCUACCAAGGCGACGACGGGUAGCCGGCCUGAGAGGGUGACCGGCCACACUGGGACUGAGAUACGGCCCAGACUCCUACGGGAGGCAGCAGUGGGGAAUAUUGCACAAUGGGCGCAAGCCUGAUGCAGCGACGCCGCGUGAGGGAUGACGGCCUUCGGGUUGUAAACCUCUUUCAAUAGGGACGAAGCGCAAGUGACGGUACCUAUAGAAGAAGGACCGGCCAACUACGUGCCAGCAGCCGCGGUAAUACGUAGGGUCCGAGCGUUGUCCGGAAUUACUGGGCGUAAAGAGCUCGUAGGUGGUUUGUCGCGUUGUUCGUGAAAACUCACAGCUUAACUGUGGGCGUGCGGGCGAUACGGGCAGACUAUAGUACUGCAGGGGAGACUGGAAUUCCUGGUGUAGCGGUGGAAUGCGCAGAUAUCAGGAGGAACACCGGUGGCGAAGGCGGGUCUCUGGGCAGUAACUGACGCUGAGGAGCGAAAGCGUGGGGAGCGAACAGGAUUAGAUACCCUGGUAGUCCACGCCGUACACGGUGGGUACUAGGUGUGGGUUUCCUUCCUUGCGAUCCGUGCCGUAGCUAACGCAUUAAGUACCCCGCCUGGAGAGUACGGCCGCAAGGCUAAUACUCACAGAAAUUGACGGGGGCCCGCACAAGCGGCGGAGCAUGUGGAUUAAUUCAAUGCAACGCGAAGAACCUUACCUGGGUUUGACAUGCACAGGACGCCAGUAGAGAUAUUGGUUCCCUUGUGGCCUGUGUGCACGUGGUGCAUGGCUGUCGUCAGCUCGUGUCGUGAGAUGUUGGGUUAAGUCCCGCAACGAGCGCAACCCUUGUCUCAUGUUGCCA
Molecule: ribosomal RNA, 1047 nt
Filed under: Mycolicibacterium sp.
Lineage: Bacteria; Bacillati; Actinomycetota; Actinomycetes; Mycobacteriales; Mycobacteriaceae
Description: bacterial SSU rRNA
Rfam family: Bacterial small subunit ribosomal RNA
Source: RNAcentral